UAAGGCAUAGCAUAAUUUAAAUGUAUUUCGCUUACACCGAAAAGAUACUUAAAACUAAGUUGCCUUAA
Molecule: transfer RNA, 68 nt
Filed under: Clypeomorus sp.
Lineage: Eukaryota; Metazoa; Mollusca; Gastropoda; Cerithiidae
Description: tRNA-Val
Source: RNAcentral